This 496-nucleotide ribosomal RNA is filed under the name uncultured bacterium. RNAcentral describes it as "partial 16S ribosomal RNA". It matches the Rfam family "Bacterial small subunit ribosomal RNA", at positions 28 to 506 of the family's 1533-position model. The record is from RNAcentral.
GAUGAACGCUGGCGGCGUGCCUAAUACAUGCAAGUCGAGCGAACAGACGAGGAGCUUGCUCCUCUGACGUUAGCGGCGGACGGGUGAGUAACACGUGGAUAACCUACCUAUAAGACUGGGAUAACUUCGGGAAACCGGAGCUAAUACCGGAUAACAUGUUGAACCGCAUGGUUCAACAGUGAAAGACGGUCUUGCUGUCACUUAUAGAUGGAUCCGCGCCGCAUUAGCUAGUUGGUAUGGUAACGGCUUACCAAGGCAACGAUGCGUAGCCGACCUGAGAGGGUGAUCGGCCACACUGGAACUGAGACACGGUCCAGACUCCUACGGGAGGCAGCAGUAGGGAAUCUUCCGCAAUGGGCGAAAGCCUGACGGAGCAACGCCGCGUGAGUGAAGAAGGUCUUCGGAUCGUAAAACUCUGUUAUUAGGGAAGAACAAAUGUGUAAGUAACUAUGCACGUCUUGACGGUACCUAAUCAGAAAGCCACGGCUAACUACGU